Molecule: small RNA, 97 nt
Filed under: Ureibacillus massiliensis
Lineage: Bacteria; Bacillati; Bacillota; Bacilli; Caryophanales; Caryophanaceae
Also listed under: 1 other name
Description: Lysinibacillus massiliensis Guanidine-I sequence
Rfam family: Guanidine-I riboswitch aptamer
About the family: This family represents a conserved RNA structure found upstream of the ykkC and yxkD genes in Bacillus subtilis and related genes in other bacteria. The function of this family is unclear although it has been suggested that it may function to switch on efflux pumps and detoxification systems in response to harmful environmental molecules.
Source: RNAcentral
UUAAAAGUUUUCUAGGGUUCCGCAAAUUAUAUUUGGUCUGGUCCGAGAGAAAACGUACAGUUUAACUGUAACACGGAAGGACAAAAGCCUGGGAGAU